Molecule: long non-coding RNA, 1082 nt
Filed under: Homo sapiens (human)
Lineage: Eukaryota; Metazoa; Chordata; Mammalia; Primates; Hominidae
Description: non-protein coding lnc-ATP1B3-4:1
Source: RNAcentral
GUGAUCUGCAGCCCCAGAUCGCCAGCCAUGCUCAGCCUCCAGUCGCCGGCCGCGGUUGGAUUGACUUGGCCCUUAACUCUUGUUUUUUUUCUUUUUGAGACGGAGUCUCACUCUGUCGCCCCGGCUGGAGUGCGGUGGCGCGAUCUCGGCUCACUGCAACCUCCGCCUCCCGGGUUCAAGCGAUUCUCUUGCCUCAGCCUCCCGAGUAGCUGGGAUUACAGGCGCGCUCCACCACGCCCGGCUAUUUUUGUAUUUUUAGUAGAGAAGGGGUUUCACCAUGUUGAUCAGGCUGGUCUCGAUCUCCUGAUCUCGUGAUCCGCUCGCCUCGGCUUCCCAAAUUGCUGCGAUUGCAGGCGUGAGCCACCGAGCCCGGCGGCCCUUAACUCUUAAUUUUUUCUUUUGCUUCUCCAGCUUCCUGAGAGGCAGCGCCAGCGUUUCUCUUAACCCUAGCUACAUUUGAAGAAUCUCUGUUAAAGAAAAAUAGCUACCCCAUAUGCUAAUCGUAAGGAGAGAAGUAUAGGCUAGUUUAUAUAAAAAUCUCAAAAAGUUUGGAGGUGCCAUAAGGCACAUUUAUUCAUUUCUCAACUAUGAUUAUGACUUGAGGGUUGGAGAAAUUUUUAUCUGAGUAACUUUGGCAGACUAACCUGUGUCUGCGUUCGUGCAGAAUUUUUCAAGCUUAAAACAUUUGUAGAGGUCACUACCAUAUAUAGUUUCCAUUUUUUUGCUAACAUUUUGGGUGCGACUUUAUUUCAGUAUUAUUAAAUGCACAGCCAUUGAAUAUGCUAGAGUUAAAUGAAAUAAAGUGCUGUUUUUCAAAAAUGAAAUAAAACAAGUGACAUAAAAAAUUCAAAAUUUGGCCAAAAGUAUUAAUAUUUAUUAACAAACUGAGAGCUCCCCACGACUUCUCUUCCCAGAAAACCUGGUAAAGUUUGCACACAAUACAAAGCGGUAAAUAUUUGCCAAAUGAAAUACAACGCAAGGAAGAAGACUUUUCUCAGCCCUCUAGUGGGAAAGAAAGGAGAAAGCUUAAGGUGGCUGCUUUGACCAUCACACUCCACUCCAGCGGUUGCUUUUUUUUGGAA